This is a long non-coding RNA of Anas platyrhynchos (mallard), 2210 nucleotides long. RefSeq lists it as uncharacterized. Lineage: Eukaryota; Metazoa; Chordata; Aves; Anseriformes; Anatidae. The record is from RefSeq and is a predicted model, not a curated record.
AACCCUGUGAUGAUUUGCUGGGAAGUUUGAACGUUAAAAACUCCUGCCACAUUUUUUGAAUAGACAAUUACAGAGAGGAUCUGUCUACAUUCAGGAGUGGCUACGGGAAGUAAAUCUGCUGAGGAUCUUUGUGCUGUGCCGGUAGAUGGCAGAGGUGAAACCUUUCCCCGAGAGCAGGCGUGCCUGCCAGCAGCUGCUCACAACAUCCCUUUUUUCUAGCUGUUUGAAGGUUAUGUGGGAGAGCACGCUGCAGUACCACGAUUGUGCUGUAGCUACUUCCAAUUUGUGAAGUGAGCAAAAUGCAAGAGUCUUUGUCUGAAACCCUCUCAGUGAACGGAAUGCCCCCCAAACUGAUCGCUAACGAUCUCAAAAUCCGAGGGAAAACAGACUUGCAGCGCACAUAGCCAAGAAGCAGCUGAGGCGGAAUGCUCCAGCCCAGCUCGUUACCAGCCCUCCCCUUGCAAGCAGCACUCGCUACCAAUAAAUAACCUCAGCAGAUGAAAUUCGGAAUAAUGGAGCAGAGCCUUCAGCCGCCGCAUCUCCUCGGCCCAUUGUGUUUCUCGCGUGUGAUGCUGCUCUGCCGUGCAGCGACACAAAGAGCUGCAGGACGGGUGGGGGUUCCCUGUGUCUCUGCUCCUGGGGCCGAUAAAUUUCAGCCCAUCACGAGGAGUGCCAUGAUGCGAGCACAGCGAGACGGGAAAACUCAGCAAGCGCUUGGCGUUCGCUUCGGAUUUCUGCAGCGUUCACACAUGCGCCAACGCUUCCACCAGAUGAGGACUUUCCUUCCCCACGGAUCAAAGCCCACCGGGGCAGAGCGGUACUUCCCCAACCAGAUUUGUCUGAACUGGAAGACGACCCCUGCAGCAUCACCACCUCGUCACCUCCCGCAAUUAAACACCGCUGGGCUAACGGCAUCCAGGUGGGGAGCCCCGGGCCGCGCAGCUGGAGCGGUGACAGUGACACUGGAGAACCCGGUGCAUCCUCCUCCACCGAUAAUUUCUAACUGGAGCCAGCAGCACCCCGCUGGGAUGAGAAGCAAAAUUCCCCCUGUGCUGUUACCGCCCUGGUCAGACUGGGACCGAUCCCAACUGCAGCCAGAGCCUUGGACUGGAGGACCGAACCCGCACUGCUCCGGCUGUCCAAAAUCUGUCGUGGCCGUCCGUCUGUCCGCAGGCACCUCCCCAGCCCUGCUCAGCCUCACACCUCGCGGAGCAGCUGCUGGUCCCCAGCACCGAGCUGGCUGAUGUGGGGCGAUGGUUAUGCAGAGCUGGCUGCUUCGUAAGGCCCUCGGAGGCGAGCGGAGCGCUCGGAGGAAGAGAAAAUUAUUGUUCCUGGUUUCACACUCAGCUGAGUUUCCAUUCCACGCAUUCCUCCUUACUCACUCUCCCUUAAUCACCGCAGAUGUUGACAUCAGAUACAGGCUGACGGAGCGGAGCUUAGCGAGAACAUGACUUAUGUUUGAAGAAAUUCCUCCCAGAAUAUUUCAGGCUUCUGAUUUUCGACUAUAUUUGGUGUGGAGCGAGCAGAAGCCACUCCAGCAUUGCGGGGUGCCUGGGGCUGAGGCCGCGGUGCCCAGACCGCCCUGGGAGCCGCAGGCAAAGCCCCCAACCUCGCGUUUCUCUGGGAUUUUUACCAAGAGGAAACCACCUCAUGCAGCAUUCCCGACCCCACAACCCCUCUCCUUUCUGUGCCUCAUCCUCCCCAAAGUCUCUCCCACCAGCUCCAGCACGCCCGUGGGUGCCUGCGCUGGGCCCUGUCCUCUGCCACCCACCCCUGCUGGUGCCGUGGGUGAGGGAUGGGGCGCUGGCGGCUGUCCCCGUUGGAGGUGUUUCGGGUGUUUAUUGAUCACAAGGAAAAAGUGCUCUGGGACAGGCCAGGGCCCCAAAAACCUCAUCCUCUAGGAGGCCGACACACACGGCCUGCCAAGCGUCUGCGCGUGGAAAUCUCCCACGGAGAUUUCCAUCGGAUGAAAAAUGUUUCUUUGGUGCCGCUGAGAUGAACGCAGACCUCAGGGAGGUGUGGGGGGCACCCAAGGGAGGCUGAGCCCCAGUGCGGCUGCUCGGGCACCCUCUGGGCUGGGUCAGGGACCCCGAUGCCUCCUCUGUGGCUGCCCUCACACCACGAUUUUGCCACCUCCUCAUCCUCCUGCAGGAUGCCUGGCAGCCCUCCGAGGAGCGGGGUUUGCCCCCCGGGGGCAGCGGGAGGCGCAU